Molecule: ribosomal RNA, 301 nt
Filed under: uncultured bacterium
Lineage: Bacteria
Description: partial 16S ribosomal RNA
Rfam family: Bacterial small subunit ribosomal RNA
Source: RNAcentral
CAGCAGCCACGGUAAUACGAAGGGGGCUAGCGUUGUUCGGAUUUACUGGGCGUAAAGGGUGCGUAGGCGGACUGAUAAGUCAGGGGUGAAAUCCCAAGGCUCAACCUUGGAACUGCCUUUGAUACUGUUAGUCUUGAGUUCGAGAGAGGUGAGUGGAACUGCGAGUGUAGAGGUGAAAUUCGUAGAUAUUCGCAAGAACACCAGUGGCGAAGGCGGCUCACUGGCUCGAAACUGACGCUGAGGCACGAAAGCGUGGUGAGCGAACAGGAUUAGAUACCCCCGUAGUCCCUGUCUCUUAUAC